This 301-nucleotide ribosomal RNA is filed under the name uncultured bacterium. RNAcentral describes it as "partial 16S ribosomal RNA". It matches the Rfam family "Bacterial small subunit ribosomal RNA", at positions 509 to 807 of the family's 1533-position model. The record is from RNAcentral.
CAGUCGCCGCGGUAAUACGAAGGGUGCAAGCGUUACUCGGAAUUACUGGGCGUAAAGCGUGCGCAGGCGGUUUGUUAAGACAGAUGUGAAAUCCCCGGGCUCAACCUGGGAACUGCAUUUGUGACUGGCAAGCUAGAGUGUGGCAGAGGGGGGUGGAAUUCCGCGUGUAGCAGUGAAAUGCGUAGAUAUGCGGAGGAACACCGAUGGCGAAGGCAGCCCCCUGGGCCAACACUGACGCUCAUGCACGAAAGCGUGGGGAGCAAACAGGAUUAGAUACCCCUGUAGUCCCUGUCUCUUAUAC